Molecule: ribosomal RNA, 342 nt
Filed under: uncultured bacterium
Lineage: Bacteria
Description: bacterial SSU rRNA
Rfam family: Bacterial small subunit ribosomal RNA
Source: RNAcentral
AGUGAACGCUGGCGGCGUGGCUUAGGCAUGCAAGUCGAGCGCGAAAGUACCUUCGGGUAUGAGUAGAGCGGCGUAAGGGUGAGUAAUGUAUAGGCAACGUACCCCUUGGACCGGGAUAGCUGCGGGAAACUGCAGGUAAUACCGGAUGGUCAAGCGAUGUGGCAUCACGAUGCUUGUAAACGGUUGGAUACUUCUGCCGAGGGAGCGGCCUAUGCCCUAUUAGCUAGUUGGUGAGGUAAUGGCUCACCAAGGCAACGAUGGGUAGGCCGGACUGAGAGGUUGGGCCGGUCACACUGGGACGUGAGACACUGCCCACGACUCCUACGGGAGGCUGCAGUCGAG